Molecule: ribosomal RNA, 253 nt
Filed under: uncultured bacterium
Lineage: Bacteria
Description: partial 16S ribosomal RNA
Rfam family: Bacterial small subunit ribosomal RNA
Source: RNAcentral
UACGUAGGGUGCGAGCGUUAAUCGGAAUUACUGGGCGUAAAGCGUGCGCAGGCGGCUUUGCAAGACAGAUGUGAAAUCCCCGGGCUCAACCUGGGAACUGCGCUUGUGACUGCAAAGCUGGAGUGCGGCAGAGGGGGAUGGAAUUCCGCGUGUAGCAGUGAAAUGCGUAGAUAUGCGGAGGAACACCGAUGGCGAAGGCAAUCCCCUGGGCCUGCACUGACGCUCAUGCACGAAAGCGUGGGGAGCAAACAGG